Molecule: ribosomal RNA, 578 nt
Filed under: uncultured bacterium
Lineage: Bacteria
Also listed under: 1 other name
Description: bacterial SSU rRNA
Rfam family: Bacterial small subunit ribosomal RNA
Source: RNAcentral
ACGGGUGAGUAACACGUGAGUAACCUGCCCUUGACUCUGGGAUAAGCGUUGGAAACGACGUCUAAUACCGGAUACGAGCUUCCACCGCAUGGUGAGUUGCUGGAAAGAAUUUUGGUCAAGGAUGGACUCGCGGCCUAUCAGCUUGUUGGUGAGGUAACGGCUCACCAAGGCGACGACGGGUAGCCGGCCUGAGAGGGUGACCGGCCACACUGGGACUGAGACACGGCCCAGACUCCUACGGGAGGCAGCAGUGGGGAAUAUUGCACAAUGGGCGAAAGCCUGAUGCAGCAACGCCGCGUGAGGGACGACGGCCUUCGGGUUGUAAACCUCUUUUAGCAGGGAAGAAGCGAAAGUGACGGUACCUGCAGAAAAAGCACCGGCUAACUACGUGCCAGCAGCCGCGGUAAUACGUAGGGUGCAAGCGUUGUCCGGAAUUAUUGGGCGUAAAGAGCUCGUAGGCGGUUUGUCGCGUCUGCUGUGAAAUCCCGAGGCUCAACCUCGGGUCUGCAGUGGGUACGGGCAGACUAGAGUGCGGUAGGGGAGAUUGGAAUUCCUGGUGUAGCGGUGGAAUGCGCAGA